UGUUUCUCCCACUACUGUACUCCGAAGGCAUCAAGAGGUUUCCCUCUCACGGUUUUGGCGAAACGAGAGAAAGGAAAAAAGGAGGUCUGGCAGAGAAGCCUCGUCAUGCUAAAGGAUGGUUAAAGUCAGAGGAAGAAGAGGGAGAAACCAGAAAUCACUUAAUGACCUCUUGGGUCAAGCAUCUUUUUGCUGGAGGAGCUAAACAGUGGCCGGUGGAAGGGCUGGCAUUUCUCAUUCACCACUAUUCCUGCUAUUCCUGUGAUAAGAAAGAAACAGA
Pogona vitticeps (central bearded dragon) is the source of this 277-nucleotide non-coding RNA. NCBI's taxonomy places the organism in Eukaryota, Metazoa, Chordata, Lepidosauria, Squamata, Agamidae. The record is from RefSeq and is a predicted model, not a curated record.